UUGGUAACAGCAGUUUCAGUGAAAUGGUGAGACGAGGGAGCGCUUACUGACAGGAAGAGAAAUGUGAAGAGCAAGUACACACAGCCCUUUUGAGGUUUGCUGUAGAAGAAAACUCCAGCUGAAAGAGGAGUCAACAGGAUACUUUACAGACAGAGCUGCGUCUCAGUGCCUGGCAUGGAGGAGGGGCUCAGUCCUGGGGAGUGAACAGGUUCUCUCUGAAUUGCCCAGGCUGACCUUGAAUUUUUGAUCUUCUUGCCUUGGACUCUCAAGAAGCUGGAAUUACAGGGGUGC
Molecule: long non-coding RNA, 291 nt
Organism: Marmota flaviventris (yellow-bellied marmot)
Lineage: Eukaryota; Metazoa; Chordata; Mammalia; Rodentia; Sciuridae
Source: RefSeq, a predicted model, not a curated record